This 253-nucleotide ribosomal RNA is filed under the name uncultured bacterium. RNAcentral's name for it is "partial 16S ribosomal RNA". It matches the Rfam family "Bacterial small subunit ribosomal RNA", at positions 524 to 776 of the family's 1533-position model. The record is from RNAcentral.
CACGUAGGGGGCGAGCGUUGUCCGGAAUUACUGGGCGUAAAGGGUGCGUAGGCGGCCUUAUAAGUCAUGUGUGAAAAACCCGGGCUCAACCCGGGUAUUGCAAGUGAAACUAUAGGGCUUGAGUGCAGGAGAGGGAAGUGGAAUUCCUAGUGUAGCGGUGAAAUGCGUAGAGAUUAGGAGGAACACCAGUGGCGAAGGCGGCUUCCUGGACUGCAACUGACGCUGAGGCACGAAAGCGUGGGGAGCAAACAGG